UGGACUACCGUGGCAGUGACGGGUAACGGGGAAUUAGGGUUCGAUUCCGGAGAGGGAGCCUGAGAAACGGCUACCACAUCUAAGGAAGGCAGCAGGCGCGCAAAUUACCCAAUCCUGACUCAGGGAGGUAGUGACAAGAAAUAACAACACUGGAAAUUUGAUUUCUAGUGAUUGGAAUGAUGGGAAUCCAAACCCCUUUCAGAGUAACAAUUGGAGGGCAAGUCUGGUGCCAGCAGCCGCGGUAAUUCCAGCUCCAAUAGCGUAUAUUAAAGUUGUUGCAGUUAAAAAGCUCGUAGUUGGAUGUCUGUUGGAAGCAAUCAUCAGUCCGCCCUAUUUGAUUAGGGUGUGAAUAUGAUGAAUUCCGGCAUAAUUGUCUCCCUAUUGUUAAUAUUCUGAUUGUUAGAUUCAUUUCUAACAAUAAUACGAUUAUUAAUAAUAAGGGGGAAAUGUUACUUUGAGAAAAUUAGAGUGUUUGAAGCAGGCUUUUGUUGCCUUGAAUACUGCAGCAUGGAAUAACAAUAUAGGAUUUCGGUUCUAUUUUGUUGGUUCUUUUUUUAGGACUGAAAUAAUGAUUAAUAGGGACAGUUGGGGGCAUUCGUAUUUAACUGUCAGAGGUGAAAUUCUUAGAUUUGUUAAAGACGAACUACUGCGAAAGCAUUUGCCAAAGAUGUUUUCAUUAAUCAAGAACGAAAGUUAGGGGCUCGAAGACGAUCAGAUACCGUCGUAGUCUUAACCAUAAACUAUGCCGACUAGAGAUAGGAAAUUGUCAUUUUACUUGACUUCUCCUGCACU
Molecule: ribosomal RNA, 792 nt
Filed under: Sarcocystis miescheriana
Lineage: Eukaryota; Apicomplexa; Conoidasida; Eucoccidiorida; Sarcocystidae
Description: SSU rRNA
Rfam family: Eukaryotic small subunit ribosomal RNA
Source: RNAcentral